This 120-nucleotide ribosomal RNA is filed under the name uncultured bacterium. Its description in RNAcentral is "partial 16S ribosomal RNA". It matches the Rfam family "Bacterial small subunit ribosomal RNA", at positions 215 to 334 of the family's 1533-position model. The record is from RNAcentral.
CCGACCAAGGACGGGCCCGCGGCGGAUUAGCUUGUUGGUGAGGUAACGGCUCACCAAGGCUUCGAUCCGUAGCUGGUCUGAGAGGACGAUCAGCCACACUGGGACUGAGACACGGCCCAG